CCUACGGGAGGCAGCAGUGGGGAAUAUUGCACAAUGGGGGAAACCCUGAUGCAGCGACGCCGCGUGAGUGAAGAAGUAUUUCGGUAUGUAAAGCUCUAUCAGCAGGGAAGAAAAUGACGGUACCUGAUUCAGAAGCACCGGCUAACUACGUGCCAGCAGCCGCGGUAAUACGUAGGGGGCAAGCGUUAUCCGGAUUUAUUGGGUGUAAAGGGAGUGUAGACGGCAGCACAAGUGUGGAGUGAAAUGCCGGGGCUUAACCCCGGAACUGCUUUGGAAACUGUGCAGCUAGAGUGCAGGAGAGGUAAGUGGAAUGCCUAGUGUAGCGGUGAAAUGCGUAGAGAUUAGGAGGAACACCAGUGGCGAAGGCGGCUUACUGGACUGUAACUGACGUUGAGGCUCGAAAGCGUGGGGAGCAAACAGGAUUAGAUACCCUUGUAGUC
Molecule: ribosomal RNA, 440 nt
Filed under: uncultured bacterium
Lineage: Bacteria
Description: partial 16S ribosomal RNA
Rfam family: Bacterial small subunit ribosomal RNA
Source: RNAcentral